Non-coding RNA from Melanotaenia boesemani (Boeseman's rainbowfish), 162 nucleotides. RefSeq annotates it as small Cajal body-specific RNA 1. The record is from RefSeq and is a predicted model, not a curated record. NCBI's taxonomy places the organism in Eukaryota, Metazoa, Chordata, Actinopteri, Atheriniformes, Melanotaeniidae. The transcript has a single exon.
AUGCACCAGAUACUAGCCUGACAGUCUGCUAUGUCCCACAUGUUAUACAGUGGGGUCUUCUGUGGCUGCAUGGCUUCAAACGGUGCAAGAACAUGAAAAGUCCUGAGAUUUAAGCUUCUCAGUGAAAGCAACACUGAUGAGUUAUGGCUCAGAGGCACAAAU